CUCAACACAUGCGAACCCUGGUCAGGUGCCGUCGUCGGGUUCUUUCUGUAAAAUUCGCCCAAAGAUCGCUGUUGGGUUAUUCUGCCAGCGUCUGACCUUACUGAUUCGUCGCCGUUUCGUGGAAUCUCCACUAUUUCCUCAAAAUGCACUCUACAGCCAAAGGACAUCGUGCAUAUUCAAGGGCAAAUUUCCAAGUAUCAAAAGACGAUUGCAAGGCUUCGAAGUGAGCAGGUGAAGACCCUCAAAGCAGAAUGCUUAAUUGCAGCUGUUUAAUGACGGACGCACUUGCUUGCACAUUCGAGAUGAGGAUGUUGGUGCACGCCCAAUUAUAUUUGUAGCCAUUUUAUUUUGGCACCGAACCAUUCACAGAAUUUUGCUACUUAAUUCACCCUCCCUUCGCAGAGGUACAAGAAAAAGUGUCAUAUUUUUUUCCCUUUUAAAUCCCAUUUUGAGCAAAUUAAUUGCUGGCGUGUCUGUGCGGUUUUUUUAUUAUCUUGAUAGUUGCAACACGUCUUGUAUGUGUUUUGCUUGUGUAAAGGCAUUGCCAUCACGCCAUUAAUUCCCAACUAUUCUCCAUUAUACCGGUGUCUCACGAGCAGUUUCGAUCACGAUCAAGCCCGAUCCGGAUCUAAAUUCUAGGCUUCGAUUGACUCCCUCACACAGCUUGCGCAAAGAACCAAUCGCGACCGAGAAAUUCAAAUCGGAUCGGGCUUGAUCACUAUUCAAAGUGCGCCGUGUGACAUCCGUAUUUUUUUUGUAUUUCACAGUUUCUUCCCGUCUUCAUGUAAGUACCUACCUCUUACAAUCUUGCUGCAAUAAAUUGUCGUCCGCUAUUUUCGUGUUC
Molecule: long non-coding RNA, 844 nt
Organism: Dermacentor andersoni
Lineage: Eukaryota; Metazoa; Arthropoda; Arachnida; Ixodida; Ixodidae
Source: RefSeq, a predicted model, not a curated record